This 468-nucleotide ribosomal RNA is filed under the name uncultured bacterium. RNAcentral describes it as "bacterial SSU rRNA". It matches the Rfam family "Bacterial small subunit ribosomal RNA", at positions 331 to 794 of the family's 1533-position model. The record is from RNAcentral.
CCAGACUCCUACGGGAGGCAGCAGUGAGGAAUAUUGGUCAAUGGGCGAGAGCCUGAACCAGCCAAGUCGCGUGAGGGAAGACGGUCCUAUGGAUUGUAAACCUCUUUUGUCGGGGAGCAAAAAGGCCUCGUGAGGCCACAAGUGAGAGUACCCGAAGAAAAAGCAUCGGCUAACUCCGUGCCAGCAGCCGCGGUAAUACGUAGGGGGCAAGCGUUAUCCGGAUUCACUGGGCGUAAAGGGAGCGCAGGCGGCACGGCAAGUCUGGUGUGAAAACCCGGGGCUCAACCCCGGGACUGCAUUGGAAACUGCCGGGCUGGAGUGUCGGAGGGGUAAGCGGAAUUCCUAGUGUAGCGGUGAAAUGCGUAGAUAUUAGGAGGAACACCAGUGGCGAAGGCGGCUUACUGGACGAUGACUGACGCUGAGGCUCGAAAGCGUGGGGAGCAAACAGGAUUAGAGACCCCAGUAAGC